RNAcentral lists this ribosomal RNA (253 nucleotides) under uncultured bacterium. Its description in RNAcentral is "partial 16S ribosomal RNA". It matches the Rfam family "Bacterial small subunit ribosomal RNA", at positions 524 to 776 of the family's 1533-position model. The record is from RNAcentral.
GACGGAGGAUGCAAGCGUUAUCCGGAAUUAUUGGGCGUAAAGCGUCCGCAGGUGGACAUACAAGUCUGCUGUCAAAGUGCAGAGCUUAACUCCGUAAAGGCGGUGGAAACUGUAGGUCUUGAGUAUGGUAGGGGUAGAGGGAAUUCCCGGUGUAGCGGUGAAAUGCGUAGAUAUCGGGAAGAACACCAGUGGCGAAAGCGCUCUACUGGGCCAUAACUGACACUGAGGGACGAAAGCUAGGGGAGCGAAAGGG